UACGGAGGGUGCGAGCGUUGUUCGGAAUCAUUGGGCGUAAAGGGUGCGUAGGCGGCUUUUUAAGUCUGACGUGAAAGCCCAGGGCUUAGCCUUGGAAGCGCGCUAGAAACUGGAAGGCUAGAGUGCCGGAGGGGAGAGUGGAAUUCCUGGUGUAGCGGUGAAAUGCGUAGAUAUCAGGAGGAAUACCGGUGGCGAAAGCGACUCUCUGGACGGUAACUGACGCUGAGGCACGAAAGCGUGGGGAGCAAACAGG
RNAcentral lists this ribosomal RNA (253 nucleotides) under uncultured bacterium. RNAcentral's name for it is "partial 16S ribosomal RNA". It matches the Rfam family "Bacterial small subunit ribosomal RNA", at positions 524 to 776 of the family's 1533-position model. The record is from RNAcentral.